GACAGAGGGUGCAAACGUUGUUCGGAAUUACUGGGCGUAAAGCGCGUGUAGGCGGCUUGGCAAGUCGGGUGUGAAAGCCCUGGGCUCAACCCAGGAAGUGCACUCGAAACUGCUUCGCUCGAGUAUCGGAGAGGAAAGCGGAAUUCUCGGUGUAGAGGUGAAAUUCGUAGAUAUCGAGAGGAACACCGGUGGCGAAGGCGGCCUUCUGGACAGCCACUGACGCUGAGACGCGAAAGCGUGGGGAGCAAACAGG
Molecule: ribosomal RNA, 253 nt
Filed under: uncultured bacterium
Lineage: Bacteria
Description: partial 16S ribosomal RNA
Rfam family: Bacterial small subunit ribosomal RNA
Source: RNAcentral